GGAUAAAGAUAGAAACCUAGCGCUUAUAACUUUACAUGUGAAUGGAUUAAAUAAUCCAAUAAAACAAAAGUUGGAAAUUGAGUAAGGAAAAAAAAAAUAGACAUCCCUUAAAGUCAAUAGGAAGCUGAUAAUGGACCUAGCUAGUAAAGUCCAACUCUCUACCUGAAAUACUGACAUCUCAAACUAUGAAUACUGUUAUUUAAAUAGGCAAAUUUUCCUUUAUUAUAUAAAUAUUUCCUUUAUUUCCUUUUAUUUCCUCACUUCUUCACUCUAAUAGAAACCUGUUUUCUUUGUGUUUAUGCUACAUGGUGGGUUCACUUUAUUGAACACGUACUAGUUGUGUUGUAAAAUAAUCUGGUUCCUUAAAAAAAAAAAAUCAGGUUUCUAAGUCAUGGUGAAUCAUUCACUCAGAGACAGCCCGAGUGGGUUAAUUAGAAACAGCUGAGGCAAACAAAAUGCCAUCACAUGCCUCCAGUAUAUAAGGCAAAAGAGAGAGCUGUUCCAGAAGAUCCCGAAAGGGGAGGUUAUUCCGGAGGAUGGGACAAAGCUCUGAAGAUACACAAAUCAGACCAAAAGAAUUUAAGAGAUCUCCUCACAGCUCCUAGUAAGAAGAGAGAUAACUGUGGACUUGAGAAUUCCACUGACAACAGGGGACAUAAGGAUGUCACAGCAAGUGGGAAGAUAAGAGAUAAGAGAUAAGACCUCCUUCAAAGAGGAGUCAGAGAGACCACUGGAUAUCCUGAAUGGAAUGAAGAAUAGCUGUCAUCCAGAGAAGUGUAUAUUUACCUGAUGUAGAGGUCUAGGGG
This is a long non-coding RNA of Sarcophilus harrisii (Tasmanian devil), 806 nucleotides long. RefSeq lists it as uncharacterized. NCBI's taxonomy places the organism in Eukaryota, Metazoa, Chordata, Mammalia, Dasyuromorphia, Dasyuridae. The record is from RefSeq and is a predicted model, not a curated record. The transcript has 3 exons.